This is a long non-coding RNA of Hypanus sabinus (Atlantic stingray), 3439 nucleotides long. RefSeq lists it as uncharacterized. The record is from RefSeq and is a predicted model, not a curated record. The transcript has 3 exons. NCBI's taxonomy places the organism in Eukaryota, Metazoa, Chordata, Chondrichthyes, Myliobatiformes, Dasyatidae.
GAGGUUGCGAGCCUUCGUCUGAGGAGGAACUCCGUCUUCUUGGAAGCGGGGAAGACUUUGGUUUAAACCAGAUCUCAUCGUCCUCUGCAAAAACCUCAUUGUCACCUGGCAGACCUAAUACACUGACCGAAAAAGAUUGACCCUAAUGGAUUGUACUGAGUGUAAGCUUCAAACAGAAGAUUCAAACAAAGCUGGGCCUAGCAGUUGAAGGAGCAGACAUGAGAAGUUUUAUCCGGUUGGCCGGGACACAGCAGAGAUGAUCGAUCAGCGUGACAGGCAACCAAUAAGAACAGCAUUGGACCAAUAUAAACAGAGCACUCUGCAGAAACAACACUCAACCGUGCACUGAUGAUGCCACCUCGACUGGUGAUGAGAUGUUUGCGACCUAACCUCCAGGCUCAGCGAACAACCAACAAACAAGUUUUGAACAGUGUUGCAGUAUUUAAUUUGGUACUUCUCCCUAGAUGCAGGCUAUUUCCCAUUGCCCAGAAACAAUUACAAAGAAAUAGAUGAAGAUGAACUUUAUUUGUCACAUAUAAUAUCAAAAUGUUGAAACAUACAGUGAACUAUGUUGCGCUAGGCAGUUCUGUGAUAAAUAUUUUCUACAAUUUGUGGACGUAUGCAAUUCUAAUUCAUGCAUUUCAUUUGUUAAUGGUCUUGCUUCAUUCUAUCAAGCUAUUUCCAACUAACAAAAUACUCAUUUACAUGUCAGUUAUCAGCUGGAUAGGAAACUGUAAAGGUGUGAUAUAUUAACCAUAGCUAACAAAAACUGCAAUAAAGGAUGAAGGUAAGAGUGAUGAAGUGAGAUCAAGGAGAUCCAGAAGGAUUCUAACUUUGCUUAUGAGGCUUACUAACAGUCAGCUCAUAAAUCUCAAACUCAAUAACAUUCAGGGAAGAAAAGUCUCUCAGAAACCAUCAGUCAUCCAUAUAUUUCAUUGGUUGCAAAGGCAAUCCUUUGAUCACCCAUACAUUGAUUGAGCCUGGCUCCAAUUUAUACAGUUAAAUAAACAGUAUACAAGAUAACAUCUCUGAACGACCACUUCAUAAAUGUGGAUCAAUCCCAAUAAGUUAAAAAGGAUUACUGGAGCAUCUACUCAGUUAACCUGAAUGAUUUUGCUCAUGAUGAUUUCACGCAGAAUCCUAAAUAUAUAAGAAGAAGUCACUGGAGAGAUUUAGGAAGCUUUGCCAUCUUGUGUUAGAUUAUGUCACAUUACUGUUCAUUGUGAUUUUUCCAAUCAGGCUUUGUCAGUGGAGCAGGUUUAUAUUAGAUGAGACCUACAUAGCAUGGAGUAUUUAGAUCUCGAAUAUGGAGGCAUUAUUUAAACAGCCAAAAAAUGAAAAUGCAUGUAUAUAUAAUAAGAAGAAUGCGUGCUAACAUUGAAUAUCUUGACAAAUUAACCUGUAGGUCACCACUUAAUUUAGGAAGUCCACAGUCAUUUGACUAACAUAAAACGGUCAUUUUAGUAAAUGCCUUGAGAAACAUAUUGAUGCAGCUAUAAAGAAAGCAAGACAGUGGCUAUAUUUCAUUAGGAGUUUGAGGAGAUUUGGUUUGUCACCCAAAACACUCGUAACUUUUACUGAUGAACUGUGGAGAACAUUCUGACUGGCUGCUUUUCUGUCUGGUAUUGGACGAGGGUUGGGGGGGGGGUGGGUACUACUGCACAGGUCCGAAUGAAGCUACAGAAAGUUGUAAAAUUAGUCAAUUUCAUCAUGGGUAUUAGGGCCCAUAAUAUCCAAGAUAUCUUCAAGGCGUGGUGCCUCAGAAAGGCAGCAUCCAUUAUUAAGGACCCCCAGCAUGAGAUGCAUGCCGUCUUCUCACUGUUACCAUCAGGAAAGAGGUACAGAAGCCUGAAGGCACACACUCAGCGAUUCAGGAACAGCUUCUUCCCUUCUGUGCCAUCCAAUUUCUAAAUGGACAUUGAACCCAUGGACACUACCUCACUUUCUUUUUGUUUUAUUAUUUUUGAUUUUGCACCAUUUUAAAUUCUACUAUAUAUAUAUGUGUGUGUGUGUGUAAUUACUGUAAUUCAUUGUACUGCUGCUGCUAAGUUAACAAAUUCAAUGACAUAUGCUGAUGAUAUAAACCUGAUUCUGAUUCUAAACGUCUACCAAAAGAGACUUUUGUAUUAAACAUGAUUGUACUUUCAGAAAUAUAAAUACAAAUAAAAGUUUUUCAGAUGCUAACCACUUAUUUUAAACAAAUACCAUACUUAUAUAGCUGGUUGUGUUCAUUGGUUUAAUUAAUGUACUUUUUAAAAUUAUUUGCUGUAUUUGGAAUGGUCUAUGGGUUGCUGUAUAAGCUACUUGCAGUGAUCAAAGGCUGUGCCAAAUUACUAAAGUUGAUAUGGAUGUGUUCAUCUCUGUUCAGAUAUAUUAGCAAUUGCUGUGGAAAGUUCAGUGGGAUUCAAUUGUACUCUGACAAUAAAUGGCAAUGUGCCAAUAGAGGAGCUAAAUGGAAAAUUGUUUGUGAACUUCUUCAUAAUUUGCUUUAAUCUUGUGCCUCAUUUUUCACUACAUUCUCAGUGACAGUGAGUGAGUAAGAGGUGGGCGGGUAGACAGCGGCAAAGGGAGAGCAAAGAGUUCAUCAGUUUUUAGAAUUCUGUCUGUGUAUUAUAAAUAGCAGCAGUAAUGGGCGUGAGAGCAGCCAAAGAUCACUGUCCACAAUAUUUUCAGUCUUUCUGUGUGGGAAAGGCCAAUUCUCUGCACACAACUUCAUAUUGUGGCUAAAGUCAUAAACUUAAUGUCUCAGUAAUUCAGUUCUGAUGGAUAUGUGAGGCAUGCCACACAUGGGCCACAGCUUUGCUCCACUACCAUGAAAGUGCUUCCUAUGUAAAAUUUGUGUUGAUCAUAUAAACUGUAGUUUUGGAGUUAAGGAGGCGACACAAUUAUAUUAGUCUGACAUAGGCAGUCCCUUGGAGUUGACUAACUUCUGCUCUGGUUUUGUAGGUUCUGGGAUGGGAAUGAGAAUAAUGUGGGAACUGUAGAUACUUGCAAAGAUGAGAUGGGUGGUGACCAAUGGUGCAGGAUAUCAUCAAAACCAUCCCAAAUGCUCCUUCUCCACUUUGGGUGAACACGUACUAGAGGAGUUAGAGGGGUUUGUGUAUAUAUUCAAGGAUGUUCUGAUUUCUUUUCCCCCUGGUAAGCUCUUCCUAUCAUAUGAUCCAGAACAAUGUUCGUUCUGGGAGGCUGGUGUUAAGGUUACAAGUGGUGUGGCUUUCGUUCACUGCAUCAAUAUGGGGAACGUGGGGCCAAUGGUGUUGCUUGGGUUUUGGACUAUAUAUAUAUGCCCUUUUUUCAAGUGAAUAUGCUUCUGUGUUUGCUAUUUUGUAUAUGUUACCUGUGAUUUUUGAAUGUCUGCUUGCUAUUUUGAAUAUUUUGCACUUUGGUCCCAGAGAAACAUUGUAUUGUUCAGCAUAUCUAUGUAAGGUUUGAAUGAUAA